This 495-nucleotide ribosomal RNA is filed under the name uncultured bacterium. RNAcentral's name for it is "partial 16S ribosomal RNA". It matches the Rfam family "Bacterial small subunit ribosomal RNA", at positions 28 to 507 of the family's 1533-position model. The record is from RNAcentral.
GACGAACGCUGGCGGCGUGCCUAAUACAUGCAAGUAGAACGCUGAAGGAGGAGCUUGCUUCUCUGGAUGAGUUGCGAACGGGUGAGUAACGCGUAGGUAACCUGCCUGGUAGCGGGGGAUAACUAUUGGAAACGAUAGCUAAUACCGCAUAAGAGUAGAUGUUGCAUGACAUUUGCUUAAAAGUUGCAAUUGCAUCACUACCAGAUGGCCCUGCGUUGUAUUAGCUAGUUGGUGGGGUAACGGCUCACCAAGGCGACGAUACAUAGCCGACCUGAGAGGGUGAUCGGCCAAACUGGGACUGAGACACGGCCCAGAAUCCUACGGGAGGCAGCAGGAGGGAAUCUUCGGAAAUGGGCGGAAGGCUGACCGAGCAACGCCGCGUGAGUGAAGAAGGUUUUCGGAUCGUAAAGCUCUGUUGUAAGAGAAGAACGAGUGUGAGAGUGGAAAGUUCACACUGUGACGGUAUCUAACCAGAAAGGGACGGCUAACUACGUG